GGCGAGUGGCGAACGGGUGAGUAAUACAUCGGAACGUGUCCUGGAGUGGGGGAUAGCCCGGCGAAAGCCGGAUUAAUACCGCAUACGCUCUGUGGAGGAAAGCGGGGGAUCUUUCGGGACCUCGCGCUCAAGGGGCGGCCGAUGGCAGAUUAGGUAGUUGGUGGGGUAAAGGCCUACCAAGCCGACGAUCUGUAGCUGGUCUGAGAGGACGACCAGCCACACUGGGACUGAGACACGGCCCAGACUCCUACGGGAGGCAGCAGUGGGGAAUUUUGGACAAUGGGCGCAAGCCUGAUCCAGCAAUGCCGCGUGUGUGAAGAAGGCCUUCGGGUUGUAAAGCACUUUUGUCCGGAAAGAAAACCUCUGGGUUAAUACCCCGGGGGGAUGACGGUACCGGAAGAAUAAGCACCGGCUAACUACGUGCCAGCAGCCGCGGUAAUACGUAGGGUGCGAGCGUUAAUCGGAAUUACUGGGCGUAAAGCGUGCGCAGGCGGUGAUGUAAGACCGAUGUGAAAUCCCCCGGGCUUACCUGGGAACUGCAUUGGUGACUGCAUCGCUCGAGUAUGGCAGAGGGGGGUAGAAUCCACGUGUAGCAGUGAAAUGCGUAGAGAUGUGGAGGAAUACCGAUGGCGAAGGCAGCC
This 641-nucleotide ribosomal RNA is filed under the name Burkholderia sp. Mi281. RNAcentral describes it as "bacterial SSU rRNA". It matches the Rfam family "Bacterial small subunit ribosomal RNA", at positions 90 to 726 of the family's 1533-position model. The record is from RNAcentral. Lineage: Bacteria; Pseudomonadati; Pseudomonadota; Betaproteobacteria; Burkholderiales; Burkholderiaceae.